RNAcentral lists this ribosomal RNA (468 nucleotides) under uncultured bacterium. Its description in RNAcentral is "partial 16S ribosomal RNA". It matches the Rfam family "Bacterial small subunit ribosomal RNA", at positions 28 to 507 of the family's 1533-position model. The record is from RNAcentral.
GACGAACGCUGGCGGCGUGCUUAACACAUGCAAGUCGAACGGAAAGGCCCUGCUUUUGUGGGGUGCUCGAGUGGCGAACGGGUGAGUAACACGUGAGUAACCUGCCCUUGACUUUGGGAUAACUUCAGGAAACGGGGGCUAAUACCGGAUAGGAGCUCCUGCGGCAUGGUGGGGGUUGGAAAGUUUCGGCGGUUGGGGAUGGACUCGCGGCUUAUCAGCUUGUUGGUGGGGUAGUGGCUUACCAAGGCGUUGACGGGUAGCCGGCCUGAGAGGGUGACCGGCCACAUUGGGACUGAGAUACGGCCCAGACUCCUACGGGAGGCAGCAGUGGGGAAUAUUGCACAAUGGGCGGAAGCCUGAUGCAGCAACGCCGCGUGCGGGAUGACGGCCUUCGGGUUGUAAACCGCUUUCGCCUGUGACGAAGCGUGAGUGACGGUAAUUGGUAAAGAAGCACCGGCUAACUACGUG